UACGAAGGGUGCCAGCGUUAAUCGGAAUUACUGGGCGUAAAGCGCGCGUAGGUGGUUCGUUAAGUUGGAUGUGAAAGCCCCGGGCUCAACCUGGGAACUGCAUCCAAAACUGGCGAGCUAGAGUAUGGCAGAGGGUGGUGGAAUUUCCUGUGUAGCGGUGAAAUGCGUAGAUAUAGGAAGGAACACCAGUGGCGAAGGCGACCACCUGGGCUAAUACGGACACGGAGGUGAGAAAGCGGGGGGAGCAAACAGGAGGAGAUAACCCCGGAGUCC
Molecule: ribosomal RNA, 273 nt
Filed under: uncultured bacterium
Lineage: Bacteria
Description: partial 16S ribosomal RNA
Rfam family: Bacterial small subunit ribosomal RNA
Source: RNAcentral